CGAGUUUGAUCCUGGCUCAGGAUGAACGCUAGCGGCAGGCCUAACACAUGCAAGUCGAGGGGCAGCACGUCUUCGGAUGGUGGCGACCGGCGCACGGGUGCGUAACGCGUAUGCAACCUACCUCUUACAGUGGGAUAGCCCAGAGAAAUUUGGAUUAAUGCCCCAUAGUAUUAUUGAAUGGCAUCAUUUAAUAAUUAAACAUUUAUGGGUAAAAGAUGGCUAUGCGUUCUAUUAGCUAGUAGGUAAGGUAACGGCUUACCUAGGCAACGAUAGAUAGGGGUCCUGAGAGGGAGAUCCCCCACACUGGUACUGAGACACGGACCAGACUCCUACGGGAGGCAGCAGUGAGGAAUAUUGGACAAUGGGCGAGAGCCUGAUCCAGCCAUGCCGCGUGCAGGAAGACGGUCCUAUGGAUUGUAAACUGCUUUUGUACGGGAAGAAACACCCCCUCGUGAGGGGGCUUGACGGUACCGUAAGAAUAAGGAUCGGCUAACUCCGUG
RNAcentral lists this ribosomal RNA (500 nucleotides) under uncultured bacterium. RNAcentral's name for it is "bacterial SSU rRNA". It matches the Rfam family "Bacterial small subunit ribosomal RNA", at positions 9 to 507 of the family's 1533-position model. The record is from RNAcentral.